Molecule: ribosomal RNA, 460 nt
Filed under: uncultured bacterium
Lineage: Bacteria
Description: partial 16S ribosomal RNA
Rfam family: Bacterial small subunit ribosomal RNA
Source: RNAcentral
CCUACGGGAGGCUGCAGUGAGGAAUAUUGGUCAAUGGACGAAAGUCUGAACCAGCCAUGCCGCGUGCAGGAAGACGGCUCUAUGAGUUUUAAACUGCUUUUGUACAAGGGUAAACCUGAAUACGUGUAUUCAGCUGAAAGUACUGUACGAAUAAGGAUCGUCUAACUCCGUUCCAGCAUCCGCGGUAAUACGGAGAAUCUAAGCGUUAUCCGGAUUUAUUGGGUUUAACGGGUGCGUAGGCGGAUUGAUAAGUUAGAGGUGAAAUGUCCGGGCUCAACUCGGGAACUGCCUCUAAUACUGUUGAUCUAGAGAGUAGAUGCGGUAGGCGGAAUGUAUGGUGUAGCGGUGAAAUGCUUAGAGAUCAUACAGAACACCGAUUGAGAAGGCAGCUUACCAAUCUAUAUCUGACGUUGAGGCACGAAAGCGUGGGGAGCAAACAGGAUUAGAUACCCGAGUAGUC